This 570-nucleotide ribosomal RNA is filed under the name Pezicula californiae. Its description in RNAcentral is "eukaryotic LSU rRNA". The stretch from base 208 to 361 matches the Rfam family "5.8S ribosomal RNA". Lineage: Eukaryota; Fungi; Ascomycota; Leotiomycetes; Helotiales; Dermateaceae. The record is from RNAcentral.
UAACAAGGUCUCCGUAGGUGAACCUGCGGAGGGAUCAUUACAGAGACUCUGCCCUUUGGGUAGACCUCCCACCCUGUGUCGUUAUACCUUUGUUGCUUUGGCGGGCCGCGGGGCUCCGGCCCUGCCCCUGGCUCCGGCUAGGGCGCGCCCGCCAGAGGACUCGAAAACCUGAAUGUUAGUGUCGUCUGAGUACUAUAUAAUAGUUAAAACUUUCAACAACGGAUCUCUUGGUUCUGGCAUCGAUGAAGAACGCAGCGAAAUGCGAUAAGUAAUGUGAAUUGCAGAAUUCAGUGAAUCAUCGAAUCUUUGAACGCACAUUGCGCCCCUUGGUAUUCCGGUGGGCAUGCCUGUUCGAGCGUCAUUACAACCCUCAAGCUCAGCUUGGUCUUGGGCGUCACCGGUCCCCGGUGUGCCUUAAAAUCAGUGGCGGCGCCGUCUGGCUCUAAGCGUAGUACAUACUCUCGCUACAGACCGCCCGGCGGAUGCUGGCCAGCAACCCCCAAUCUAUCAAGGUUGACCUCGGAUCAGGUAGGGAUACCCGCUGAACUUAAGCAUAUCAAUAAGCCGGAG